UACGUAGGUGGCAAGCGUUGUUCGGAAUUAUUGGGCGUAAAGGGCGCGUAGGCGGUUUGCUAAGUCAGUUGUGAAAGCCCGGGGCUCAACCCCGGAGGGUCGGCUGAUACUGGUGGACUAGAGUACGGAAGAGGUAGCUGGAAUUCCCGGUGUAGCGGUGAAACGCGUAGAUAUCGGGAGGAACACCUGAGGCGAAGGCGGGCUACUGGGCCGAUACUGACGCUGAGGCGCGAAAGCCAGGGGAGCAAACGGG
RNAcentral lists this ribosomal RNA (253 nucleotides) under uncultured bacterium. RNAcentral's name for it is "partial 16S ribosomal RNA". It matches the Rfam family "Bacterial small subunit ribosomal RNA", at positions 524 to 776 of the family's 1533-position model. The record is from RNAcentral.